RNAcentral lists this unclassified non-coding RNA (430 nucleotides) under soil metagenome. Its description in RNAcentral is "partial contains 5.8S ribosomal RNA, internal transcribed spacer 2, and large subunit ribosomal RNA". The stretch from base 1 to 120 matches the Rfam family "5.8S ribosomal RNA", at positions 35 to 154 of the family's 154-position model. The record is from RNAcentral.
GAUGAAGAACGUAGCGAAAUGCGAUACGUAAUGUGAAUUGCAGAAUUCAGUGAAUCAUCGAAUCUUUGAACGCAUAUUGCGCUCUCUGGUAUUCCGGAGAGCAUGCUUGUUUGAGUAUCAGUAAACACCUCAACUCCCUUUUCUUUUUUGAAAUUGGAGCUGGACUUGAGUGAUCCCAACGCUUUCUUCCAAGAAAGUGGCGGGUUGCUUGAAAUGCAGGUGCAGCUGAACUUUUCUCUGAGCUAUAAGCAUAUCUAUUCAGUCUGCCUAAAAAACAGAUUAUUACCUUUGCUGCAGCUAACAUAAAGGAGACUAGUUCUUGUGCUGACUGAUGCAGGAUUCACAGAGACAGCUUCGGCUGACUUUGUAAACUCGAUCUCAAAUCAAGUAAGACUACCCGCUGAACUUAAGCAUAUCAAUAAGCGGAGGA